Bactrocera dorsalis (oriental fruit fly) is the source of this 2743-nucleotide long non-coding RNA. RefSeq lists it as uncharacterized. The transcript is spliced from 2 exons. Lineage: Eukaryota; Metazoa; Arthropoda; Insecta; Diptera; Tephritidae. The record is from RefSeq and is a predicted model, not a curated record.
AAUAAAAUAAAAAAAGUUUGAGAAUUUUGUAAUAUUGCGGACUUUUUUAGACAAAAAAAUCAAUUAUUUUUGAACAGUGGCGUAUUAGUCAAAAUUUUUUUAAAUAUUAUUGCAUUUUCAGUGACGUUUUCUACUUUGUGAAACUGCGACAGUGUGCAACAAGCCUGUCGUCGAGUUGGUGGUGAGAGUUCAACAGCGUCAAAAGACACUCCAACUUUUAUGAGUAUUUACAAAUUUAUUACGAUUUAAUUUGUAGCUUUAUUUAUUUAAAAAAAUAUAACAGUUUUCAUAACAAAUAUAUCGCUAAAUAACCCAAUUAAUCCAGCAAAAAUAAAUAAAUAAAUAAACUAAAGCAAAACGCAGUGCUACAUCAAAUUGACAAGAACGAUCAUAAAUGUACCACCUUUUCUACUCAUACGUGUAGUUUGAUAAGCAAAAUACCUAGGAACACACUACAGUUAUAAUCCAAUUUUAAAAAUUCUUGAAAAAUAUUAAACGUGUAUAAUCGGUCAAUACACAUACAUACAUAUACAAAAUAUAGUAUUGUUGUCAGAAAUAUUUUACCAACCAAACUAAACGAAGUCUAAUAAUUCAUAAAAUUUACGUCCACAAUCCGAACCUAACCAGUAAACCCUAUCGAACUUCUUAGAUUAUUUUCGAAAUAUGUGAAUCACUAUACAACCUAAAUCUAUUAAGCCUAGACAUAUGAAACUAACUUCAAUCUCAGUAAGAAACGAACCUCCAAACUGCUUUAAGAAUACCAAUUCCAAGUCUAUAUAUUUUGAAAAACAAAAAUAUUUUUAGAAUAACAAAUCAUAUUAAACGAAAAACUCUUCUUAUAAUCAAAGAUAGACAAAAUAAAACAAAAUGUUUUAAAAUUGUAAUAAAAAAUGAUUCGAACACAAUUGUACUGAUUUGAAACUAUAUUAGACCAACCAUAACCAACUCUAAUAAGUGAAAGCUUACACAGUACUACGAAAACCAAUGUGCAACAAAAAAUGUUUUAAAUUCAUAUUUAUAGAUACAAACAGAAAGCUCUCUUGUACAUAUAUAGCGAAAGUUGCAUGCCAAAAAAGCGCAACUUAAGAUUAAAUGUGCGAAGUUCACGAAGAAACAAUUGGCUAUAGAUAUACUACGGACUUUUGGCGCUUCGUAAGCUCGUCCCUACAUACUUUUUAAGUAAAAUUAUAACAUUCUAUAAACUUAAGAGCUUGUGUGUGAUAACUUACGACUUGUAAACACACACGUUUUAUUUAAAAUCGGAAUUUACUGCCAAUUUCAUGAGGGCUUUAACAUUUUUAUCUGUUUACAGCACAACUAUGCUUUCAUUUAAUAUUUUAUUAAUACAACAAUUUACGACUAAAUGGACUUGUGAGUUAUAAAUAUAACAGAAUUAAAUUUUCUUGGCUUUUAUAAGCUGUUAUAAAUAAGUCCCAAAGUUUCAGUAGAACUGUAAGUAAUGUUUUAUUACACACACUGCCAAUAUAAAUACCCAAAAGUCACUUUUUACUUUAUAAAUCAAACUCUGCUUUGCAUAGGUGAAAGCUUGCGCAACUGACUUCCGCCCGGUUGUUAAUUAUACACAUACGCAAUUCUCAUGUGGCAGCAUAAAAUAAUAUGAAAUACUAGUUUGCAAAUAUUUCGUUUCAUUUGCUGGCAUUUGGAGUAAAACACUUUUUUCAUUUACUCAAAUGAAAGUUCUUCCAAAGCUUGCGAUCAUUUUUACGUAAUAAACUUCGCAAGUUUCUCUAAACUUGUUUCAAACAAGCUUUCAUAACUAUGAAAGCUCAACUAAACUUCGCGUAAGCUUGCAUUGAAAAAACCGAUCGACUGAAUUAACGAAAUUAAUGUGUGUUUGGAAUAUACAUAAAUGUUUGAAAUCUAUAAAAAAUUAUAAAAUAAUCAUAUGCAAAAUAUUCUACAUAACAACGUUGCAAAUAUACAGUUUGAUUAUUUAAAUAUGAAUAAGAGUACACCAAACAUUUGUACUACACCGCAACAACAAGAGAAAAUUCAUUGUAAGAUCAAAUGAAAUAUAUUCAUGAAAUAGUCGUUUUUCUUAAUUUUGUAACGAAUUUAGGCAACAUAUCCAUUAUCUUACUAGUACAUUUCCUAUAGUUCAUAUACUUAUACAUAUACAUAUAAAAUAUUCAUAUCAUAUGAUAAAUCUAUUAAAUAGUUGAACGCUAAUUAAAGACAUAAAUACAUACAUACACAUAUAUUAUAUACAAGUAUAUAUAAAGUAAAAUAAAUAAUUGAUCGCAUAAAACGAAAUUAGGAAAAUUAUCUAAAACCGAAAAGCAUACAGUUAAUAAUUCGACAACUUACAUACAUACAUAUGGUAUAUUCGAUUAAACGAUUUAGAAUUCACAUAUCCUGAAAUAUAAACAGUGCUGCAAGCCAGAAUUAGAAAUAAAAAAUCUCAAUUAAUUGAAUGUAUAGCAUGUAAGAUGCGCGGCGCCGAAUAUUCAUGUCUUUACAAGUUCUUUUCCGGUCACACUAAUUUGAAGCUUGUUAAAUGGCGAAUCGAACUAACAAUUGGCAGCCAUGAAAUACUAAUUAAACAUGCGCAGAAACAAAAGCCCGUAAGGAAGUGACUAACGGAAGAUAAAUUUUAUUCAACAUGGUAAAGUCUAUAUGGAUUCUUGUCGAAUUCUUUACUUUACAUCUUUUUCGUAAAGUGAAUGAGAAAAGCUAGGGAUUCAUAUGGAAUAACUUUUGCCACUAAAAGUACUCUUCCAAA